AUCAUUUGGAAAUCUUAUUAAAAUGCAGAUUCUGGUUGAGCAGGCCUUGGAAGAGGCCCAAGAUUCUGCAUUUCUAAUGAGCUCCCAGGUGAUGCUGA
RNAcentral lists this microRNA precursor (98 nucleotides) under Dipodomys ordii (Ord's kangaroo rat). RNAcentral describes it as "mir-544 microRNA precursor family". It matches the Rfam family "mir-544 microRNA precursor family". The record is from Rfam by way of RNAcentral. Lineage: Eukaryota; Metazoa; Chordata; Mammalia; Rodentia; Heteromyidae.